GGUUGAUCCUGCCAGCAAUCAUAUGCUUGUCUCAAAGAUUAAGCCAUGCAUGUCUAAGUAUAAGUGAUUAUACGGCGAAACUGCGAAUGGCUCAUUAUAUCAGUAAUAAUCUACUUGGUUGAAUAUUUUACUUGGAUAACUGUAGGAAUUCUAGAGCUAAUACAUGCAAAAAGUCUGUAGUGGGGCAACCUGCGAGAGACGUGUUUACUAGUCAACGAAAUCAUACUUCAUGCAAAUGAAGUUCUUAAGGUGAAUCACAGUAAGUUAACAUGAAUCGGGGGCUUUGCCACCG
RNAcentral lists this ribosomal RNA (292 nucleotides) under uncultured eukaryote. RNAcentral describes it as "partial 18S ribosomal RNA". It matches the Rfam family "Eukaryotic small subunit ribosomal RNA", at positions 6 to 289 of the family's 1831-position model. The record is from RNAcentral.